GUGUCAGCCGCCGCGGUAAUACGGAGGGUGCAAGCGUUGUCCGGAAUCACUGGGUGUAAAGGGUGUGUAGGUGGGUCUGUAAGUCAGAGGUGAAAGCCUGCGGCUUAACCGUAGAAUUGCCUUUGAUACUGCAGAUCUUGAGUCCUGGAGAGGCCGCCGGAAUUCGUGGUGUAGCGGUGAAAUGCGUAGAUAUCACGAGGAACACCAGAGGCGUAGGCGGGUGGCUGGACAGGUACUGACACUGAGGCACGAAAGCGUGGGGAGCAAACAGGAUUAGAUACCCUGGUAGUCCACGCCGUAAACGAUGGAUGCUCGAUGCUGCGGCGUUUUUGCUGCAGUGUCCAAGCUAACGCAUUAAGCAUCCCACCUGGGGAGUACGCUCGCAAGAGUGAAACUUAAAUGAAUUGACGGGG
RNAcentral lists this ribosomal RNA (413 nucleotides) under uncultured prokaryote. Its description in RNAcentral is "bacterial SSU rRNA". It matches the Rfam family "Bacterial small subunit ribosomal RNA", at positions 505 to 918 of the family's 1533-position model. The record is from RNAcentral.